This 62-nucleotide transfer RNA is filed under the name Cynoglossus zanzibarensis (Zanzibar tonguesole). Its description in RNAcentral is "tRNA-Ser". The record is from RNAcentral. Lineage: Eukaryota; Metazoa; Chordata; Actinopteri; Pleuronectiformes; Cynoglossidae.
GAGAAGUCUGAUGACAACAAGAACUGCUAAUUCUUGCCCCCUGAGUUUAAUCCCCAGGUUCA